UGAGGAAUAUUGCUCAAUGGGCGAAAGCCUGAAGCAGCGACGCCGCGUGGAGGAGGAAGGCCUUCGGGUUGUAAACUUCUGUUAAACGGGAAAAAAGACGUCCGAGUAAUAUGCGGAUGUGAUGAUUGUACCGUUAGAGAAAGCACUGGCUAAUCUCGUGCCAGCAGCCGCGGUAAUACGAGAGGUGCAAGCGUUGUUCGGAUUUACUGGGUGUAAAGGGUGCGCAGGCGGCAUGUUAAGUCAAUUGUUAAAUCUUCCGGCCUAACUGGAAGUCUGCAAUAGAAACUGGCAAGCUUGAGUAUGGAAGAGAGGAGUGGAAUUCUUGGAGUAGCGGUAAAAUGCGUAGAUCUCAAGAGGAACACCGAUGGCGAAGGCAGCUCUUUGGUCCAUUUCUGACGCUCAUGCACGAAAGCGUGGGGAGCAAACAGG
This 429-nucleotide ribosomal RNA is filed under the name uncultured bacterium. RNAcentral describes it as "bacterial SSU rRNA". It matches the Rfam family "Bacterial small subunit ribosomal RNA", at positions 355 to 776 of the family's 1533-position model. The record is from RNAcentral.